Long non-coding RNA from Phalaenopsis equestris, 1175 nucleotides. RefSeq lists it as uncharacterized. The record is from RefSeq and is a predicted model, not a curated record. The transcript is spliced from 7 exons. Lineage: Eukaryota; Viridiplantae; Streptophyta; Magnoliopsida; Asparagales; Orchidaceae.
CAGGGGUGACGUUGCAGGCGUAUUGCACGAGAAAGGCGCAGGACACCACGGGGCGCAACAGAAGCUCAGCGGUGUUUUGAGGCCAAAAUCGAAAUUUCCUCUCUCGAUUCAAAUUGAAGCCCUUUGGUUCUUCUGCAAAACCUAGCGGCAAGAAGCCGCAGAGAGUUGUAUGUUUGCUUUUAGAGCUUCUUGUGGUUGUCAUUUUUGGAAGGGAAGAUAGAGAACAGGAAUGGGAGACAGUAUUUGUUACUUUCUAUUUACCUCAUUCGAGCAGUUUGAUUCAGGUUAUUCACAUUGUGCUACACCAGUUGAGAGCCGCAGCAAAUCAAGCCAAGUUCGGCAUUUCGCCUGCAGCAAAAUCUUGAAGUAGAAGUUCAUGUAGAGGAAUAUCAAAUCAAUGCUCGAGAGCGAAAAAAAUGUUGGCCAAUACCUUCCAUGAAAAUUGUUUGAGGCACAACUAAACAUGAAUUGAAGACUGAUGGGGGAACUUUUGGCUUAAAGCCAGAAUGCCCAGCACACAGAGGAAGUUCUUAUAUGGAUUAGUCUUCUCGCCCUUCCACAACAUCACGACCUCAACGUGCAGAUUUUUUAUUAUUAUCUUGGAGGAAAUAGAAAAGAUAAAAAAAAGAGAUAUCAGUGAUUCACAACGGGAUCAGUAACAUCACUGAUCAGUUUGAUCAUCUGGAUUGGCAGAUGAAACAACAAUCAGAUCAUGUUGUUGUACUCCAUGAUGCACAGGUCCAAAUGUACAACAAGAAUUGUUGGAUCGAGAAAGAUUCCGAGGAGUUUCCGAACUAUCCCUUCUACAACUUGUACGUUCAUCAGUCAAUUGGUGAUAUUGGAGAAGUGGAUAGUGAGGUUGAUGAUAAUAUGUAGUGGAUUUUUCGUAAUAGCUUUGAUGUGUGCUUGUAAGUUCUUGGUUCCGUGGAGUAUUAGCUCUAAUGUGUGCUUGUAGGCUUUCUAAUAUUUUGAGUCGUGUGCUUAGUAGUUUUUGUGUGAAGUUAGAAGUUAUGUUUUAAAGGUUGUGAGUGAAUUAUAAUGUGUGUUUGAAUGGGGAUUAGAUUUAUGUUUGAAUAAAAGUGAUUGUUGGUGUUUGUUAAAAUUAUAUGUUGGAAGAUGUUUAAAUAUGUUGAAUUAAGCUUACUAGUGUUCGUAGUGCCUUGGUGUGCAGUGCU